AAAGUUGAAAAGAACUUUGAAGAGAGAGUUCAAGAGUACGUGAAACCGUUCAGGGGUAAACCUGAGAAACCCAAAAGAUCGAAUGGGGAGAUUCAUCGUCAGCUUAUUCAAUAUAUGUAUAAGUUAUGAUGUAGAUUAUGUUUAUUGUUUAUUCAGUAAACUAAUUUUCACAUGCUUGUAUUAUUUUAUUGUUGAAUAUUGUCGGCGUGCACUUCUCCCCUAGUAGGACGUCGCGACCCGUUGAGUGUCGGUUUACGGCCCGAUUGUGUUGCCUUUAAUUGUAAUAUAUUAAAGACCAAUUGGUGUUACCUAACCGACUGCUCGGCGGUCCUCGUACGGUAUUGAGUCGCAAUAUUAUUUUGCGUUUACACCCAUUUACAAUUCUUAUAUUGUUAUGGUGUUCUGUAACUGACUCUUCAAUAUAAAUUACCGGUCGGCGAUGCUACUGCUUUGGGUACUUUCAGGACCCGUCUUGAAACACGGACCAAGGAGUCUAACAUGUGCGCAAGUCAUUGGGAUUUUUUUAUUAAAAUUAAACCUAAAGGCAUAAUGAAAGUAAAGAUUGACCUUGUGUUAAUUGAGGGAGGAUGAGUCGUGUUACGAUACGAUUCCGCACUCCCGGGGCGUCUCAUUCUCAUUACGAGAAGAGGCGCACCUAGAGCGUACACGUU
This 671-nucleotide ribosomal RNA is filed under the name Ephedrus sp. BIOUG18808-G06. RNAcentral's name for it is "partial 28S ribosomal RNA". It matches the Rfam family "Eukaryotic large subunit ribosomal RNA", at positions 360 to 810 of the family's 3401-position model. The record is from RNAcentral. Lineage: Eukaryota; Metazoa; Arthropoda; Insecta; Hymenoptera; Braconidae.